Molecule: long non-coding RNA, 271 nt
Organism: Calypte anna (Anna's hummingbird)
Lineage: Eukaryota; Metazoa; Chordata; Aves; Apodiformes; Trochilidae
Exons: 3
Source: RefSeq, a predicted model, not a curated record
GCUGUGUUUGAUAAUUUAGGAAUUCAUUUAACAGGAUGGAUACAGUCAAUAAUCCAAGCACUUUGUAUCCUUUUAUUGAUAUUUCUUGUUAUUUACUUUGUAUACCAGUGCAUCCAGAGAGAGAUCACUCGUAGUAGUGAUUGGACUCAUAAGAUUAUUGGAGCCGUGACUAGGGAAUAUCCUCAACACUUAGUUCCCCCACCAACAUAUCAGGAGGCAACCAUGUAAGUGAAAAUACUUGCAGAAAAUGAAGUAUUUUCAAAGGGGGGAA